RNAcentral lists this ribosomal RNA (501 nucleotides) under Sphictyrtus chrysis. RNAcentral's name for it is "partial 16S ribosomal RNA". It matches the Rfam family "Bacterial large subunit ribosomal RNA", at positions 1810 to 2574 of the family's 2925-position model. Lineage: Eukaryota; Metazoa; Arthropoda; Insecta; Hemiptera; Coreidae. The record is from RNAcentral.
AAAACAUGUCCUUUAGGUAUAUUAAUUAAAGGUCUGACCUGCCCAGUGAUGAACUUAAACGGCCGCAGUAUUCUGACUGUGCGAAGGUAGCAUAAUCAUUUGUCUUUUAAUUGAAGGCUUGUAUGAAUGGUUGGAUGAGGAAUUAUCUUUCUUUAUUUAAAUUUUGUGAAUUUGAUUUUUGAGUCAAAAAGCUUAAAUUUUUUUGCAAGACGAGAAGACCCUAUAGAAUUUUACUAUUGUAUUAUUUAUUUAUUAUUUUGUUGUUGAUUAUUGAGUAUUUAUUUUAUAGUUUUGUUGGGGCGACAUUGAAAAUUAAAUAACUUUCAAUAAUUAUGUAUUCAUUAAUUAAUGUGUUGUUUGAUCCUGAUGUUUUGGAUUAUAAGAUUAAAUUACCUUAGGGAUAACAGCGUAAUUUUUUCGGAGAGUUCCUAUCGAUGAAAGAGUUUGCGACCUCGAUGUUGGAUUAAAGUAAGUUUUUGGUGUAGUAGCUAAUAUAACUAA